UAGUGAGUUUGAUCCUGGCUCAGGGUUGAACGCUGGCGGCGUGCUUAAGACAUGCAAAGUCGAACGGCAGUCUUCGGACUGUAGUGGCGCACGGGUGAGUAACGCGUAACUGACCUACCCCAAAGUCGCGGAUAACGGGUUCGAAAGAAUCGCUAAUACGUGAUGUGCUGCUCCUCCUGUGGAUCAGUAAAGGUUUACUGCUUUGGGAUGGGGUUGCGUUCCAUCAGCUAGUUGGUA
This 237-nucleotide ribosomal RNA is filed under the name uncultured Deinococcus sp. Its description in RNAcentral is "partial 16S ribosomal RNA". It matches the Rfam family "Bacterial small subunit ribosomal RNA", at positions 1 to 254 of the family's 1533-position model. The record is from RNAcentral. Lineage: Bacteria; Thermotogati; Deinococcota; Deinococci; Deinococcales; Deinococcaceae.